Molecule: small RNA, 579 nt
Filed under: Pan troglodytes (chimpanzee)
Lineage: Eukaryota; Metazoa; Chordata; Mammalia; Primates; Hominidae
Description: retained intron
Source: RNAcentral
GAGCCUCUACACCAGGAAGAGGAUGGUCUCCUACACCAUCACCCUGGUCUUCCAGCACUACCAUGCCAAGUUCCUGGGCAGCCUGCGUGCCCGCCUGAUGCUUCUGCACCCCAGCCCCAACUGCAGCCUUCGGGCGGAGAGCCUGGUCCACGUGCACUUCAAGGAGGAGAUUGGUGUCGCUGAGCUCAUCCCCCUUGUGACCACCUACAUCAUCUUGUUUGCCUACAUCUACUUCUCCACGCGGAAGAUCGACAUGGUCAAGUCCAAGUGGGGGCUGGCCCUGGCUGCUGUGGUCACAGUGCUCAGCUCGCUGCUCAUGUCUGUGGGACUCUGCACACUCUUCGGCCUGACGCCCACCCUCAAUGGCGGGUAGGUCCCUAGCAGGCUCCACUGGGCCACAGGGUGGGCUCAGGCCAGAGAGCCUUGCACUUCUGGGUUCUUGGCCUUCCCUGGACUUUGCUGUGACCUCACGUCUUCACAUUGUUGUUUUUGACAUUUAAGAGGUACAUUUUCUUCCUCUUCUUUGUCCGGCUUGUAUUCAUACUUGUGUUUGUAUAUAGCAUAUCUAGCUAUAGUGAG